Molecule: long non-coding RNA, 2082 nt
Organism: Oncorhynchus nerka (sockeye salmon)
Lineage: Eukaryota; Metazoa; Chordata; Actinopteri; Salmoniformes; Salmonidae
Exons: 2
Source: RefSeq, a predicted model, not a curated record
UCUCCUUCUCUUCCUUCACUGUAGAAAUCCCCGGUUUGACCAUAAGGGCCCUGCCCUCUUCAUCCUCGUCUGACGCCUCUGCGGUCUGGUGUGUGAGGAAGAGAAUAGGGAAAGAAUGGACACAUUCAUCACGUCAUUAAUUAACAGGUCCUGGCAGAGUUGUGCAGACUCAGGACAACUGAGGUUUGGAGGAAUACGCAGGUUUAAAGAGGAGUCCGUAAUUUGCUUUCUAAUAAUCAUAAUAUUUUCCUCAAAGAAGUUCAUGAAUUUAUCACUGCUAAAGUGAAAGUUAUCCUCUCUUGGGGAAUGCUGCUUUUUAGUAUACACAUAUACAGUUCUUGUUCUACCUAACUUUCUGCUCUGUUCUUUCUUUUAGUUUUACUUUGAGUCAAAUUCUGGAUAUGUUGCUCAGACAAGGCGUGCAACAUUGCAGUUAUCCCUCAGAGAUUGUGAUAGCGAUGGGUCAGAUAUGGACUAUGAGGGGGAGACAGGUAAUUUGCCAGCCAGGCUGUUGAAUGUAUAUGCUGAACCUAUGCAAACUGAUCAUGACAGGAACAACGUUAUCAGUGAUUAUGACCUACCCCUCACCACCCCACACUCUCCUCCCUGAGACUGGGUUGGGUCAUGGACCCAGUGUCGUUCUUGGUGUUGCAGAGCAAUCUCAGGUGCCUCAAGGUUGCAAGUUCCUUCAUAACAACCUCUUCACUUCACUUGCACUCCUCGAUGAAAUGACAAAAAUGUAUUAUUAUUAAUCCGUUAUUUUACCAGGUAAGUUGACUGAGAACAUGUUCUCAUUUGCAGCAACGACCUGGGGAAUAGUUACAGGGGAGAGGAGGGGGAUUAAUGAGCCAAUUGUAAAGAGGAUAUGGGAGUUCUGGAAUGAUGAGGCAAAAUCUUCUGUUUGAUGUCCAAUUCAAGCCACAGAAGGACUUCAUGAAGUUACCUCAGGGAACCUCUGAGGUUCUGACCAAAGGAUACAAGUUGCUGGUCCGUUAGAAAGACAAUAACAUUGUCACAGUGGCAACAAACAUAGAGGAGAAAUACAGUGAGACCUCUGUCAAGAGAGGAACAAGGAGCAAUGUGCCUUUUGACAAAGUCCCACAACCAAAAUGCAUCAACUGAUAAAAUGAUAAAAUGGGUGGUGUUGAACUUCACAACCUACAGGUUUCAAGAUACCAUAUCUCCAUAAGGUCUAAGAAGUGGCGGUGGCCCAUCUUUUCAUGGUCUCUCAACAGUGCACUUGUAAACAGCCAUUUAUUUGACAGAGAUGUUAUGGGAGGGACCAUCAACCUGCUCACCUUCUCAUGGAUAGUGGCACAGUCUCUUAUGCAAAAGUUUGGCACGUAACCACUGAGCCACGGGAGGAGAUCUCUACUGCUACUACUGUUGAAGAUCAGGCAAGAUAUGACAAAGCUUCCCACUGGCCAAUCAUCAUGGUGCACCGGUUCCAUAGAUGUUGUCAUUGUGACAAAUGCACUACCUAUGCAUGUGAGAAAUACAAAGCGCCACUGCACAUUGAGUGCUACAAGAUAUACCACAGACAGUAGAAAAGGAGAUAAGAGCGAAUGAAAAGGGGCUGAAAAAUCCCUCAAUAAAGGGUGAGGAGAAGCAGUUCAACAGACUUCUAGGAAGAAAAGAAAAGUUGACAAAAAUGGAAGAAGACAAUCAAAAUGACUGAAAUGUUUUUGGAAAAGAGGAUCAAUUGAUUGAAUUCACACUGUAUGACAGUAGGUCUGACUGAUCGAAGUUCAAAAUAGUGAUGCACAAACUAAUCGUGCACUUGGUUCUGAAGCCUACCUCUAAUGUAUGUAUGUAUGUAUGUGUAUAAUAUAUAUAUAUAUCUUUUUUUUGUAGGCUUCUACUUGAAUGCAUGUUCUACAGGCUACCUCGAUCCUAAAUGUUACCUUUGUUCAAUGUGAAUGAAUGACACGACUGCUAUACAGUUGUUAGUGAAUGUUGCACUCAGAUGUCACAAUGACAAUGUUACAAUGAAUAUUGCACUAAAGUACAAGUUCAAAUGUUACAAUAAAGUUACAAUAUUGAUGUUUCAAUACGUUACAAUAAAGGAACAAUGUUGAAAUA